This 724-nucleotide ribosomal RNA is filed under the name uncultured Fusobacterium sp. RNAcentral describes it as "bacterial SSU rRNA". It matches the Rfam family "Bacterial small subunit ribosomal RNA", at positions 28 to 776 of the family's 1533-position model. Lineage: Bacteria; Fusobacteriati; Fusobacteriota; Fusobacteriia; Fusobacteriales; Fusobacteriaceae. The record is from RNAcentral.
GAUGAACGCUGACAGAAUGCUUAACACAUGCAAGUCGACUCGAGUCUUCGGACUUGGGUGGCGCACGGGUGAGUAACGCGUAAAGAACUUGCCUCUUAGACCGGGACAACAUCUGGAAACGGAUGCUAAUACCGGAUAUUAUGGUUUUUUCGCAUGGAGGAAUCAUGAAAGCUAGAUGCGCUAAGAGAGAGCUUUGCGUCCCAUUAGCUAGUUGGUGAGGUAACGGCCCACCAAGGCAAUGAUGGGUAGCCGGCCUGAGAGGGUGAACGGCCACAAGGGGACUGAGACACGGCCCUUACUCCUACGGGAGGCAGCAGUGGGGAAUAUUGGACAAUGGACCACAAGUCUGAUCCAGCAAUUCUGUGUGCACGAUGACGUUUUUCGGAAUGUAAAGUGCUUUCAGUCGGGAAGAAGUCAGUGGCGGUACCGACAGAAGAAGCGACGGCUAAAUACGUGCCAGCAGCCGCGGUAAUACGUAUGUCGCAAGCGUUAUCCGGAUUUAUUGGGCGUAAAGCGCGUCUAGGCGGCAAGGAAAGUCUGAUGUGAAAAUGCGGAGCUCAACUCCGUAUGGCGUUGGAAACUGCCUUACUAGAGUACUGGAGAGGUAGGCGGAACUACAAGUGUAGAGGUGAAAUUCGUAGAUAUUUGUAGGAAUGCCGAUGGGGAAGCCAGCCUACUGGACAGAUACUGACGCUAAAGCGCGAAAGCGUGGGUAGCAAACAGG